Molecule: ribosomal RNA, 423 nt
Filed under: uncultured bacterium
Lineage: Bacteria
Description: partial 16S ribosomal RNA
Rfam family: Bacterial small subunit ribosomal RNA
Source: RNAcentral
GUGGGGAAUCUUGCGCAAUGGGCGAAAGCCUGACGCAGCCAUGCCGCGUGAAUGAUGAAGGUCUGGAUUGUAAAAUUCUUUCACCGGGGACGAUAAUGACGGUACCCGGAGAAGAAGCUCCGGCUAACUUCGUGCCAGCAGCCGCGGUAAUACGAAGGGGGCUAGCGUUGCUCGGAAUUACUGGGCGUAAAGGGCGCGUAGGCGGACAGCUUAGUCAGAGGUGAAAGCCCAGGGCUCAACCUUGGAAUUGCCUUUGAUACUGGCUGUCUUGAGUUUGGGAGAGGUGAGUGGAACUCCGAGUGUAGAGGUGAAAUUCGUAGAUAUUCGGAAGAACACCAGUGGCGAAGGCGACUCACUGGCCCAAUACUGACGCUGAGGCGCGAAAGCGUGGGGAGCAAACAGGAUUAGAAACCCGUGUAGUCC